RNAcentral lists this long non-coding RNA (537 nucleotides) under Struthio camelus australis. RNAcentral's name for it is "lncRNA (ENSSCUG00000009877.1)". Lineage: Eukaryota; Metazoa; Chordata; Aves; Struthioniformes; Struthionidae. The record is from RNAcentral.
GCCCGCCCGCCCGCCGUGGGCGCAAGGCGAAGCUGCCCCGUCUGCCCUCGCCCGAGCCUUCGCUUCGCUUCGCUUCCCCCAGCUCUCCUCCGUCUGUGCCUGCGAUGGCUUCAUCACGGGUCAUUUUUCUGCCUGGCUGCCGCCCUCCCCCCUCAAGCAGGGUCUGCGGUGCAGUGCUGGUCUGAGCUGCAGAACACCAAACUAAGCUGACUUUUACAUGUGCCUGUGAAUCUCUUCACCUAACCCAGUGGCCCACUAUUGACUAUGAUUACUUUCUGAAAAUCAUUAUCCUCCACUAAUGUACAUAUACAGAGAUGCAGCAUGGCAGAAUUAUCAAAAGACACUGACAACUGAUCUGCCUGCCUUCUCAUCCCAAACCUGUAUAACAUGUGUUUGACCAAGAUGGAAAAGAGAAGAUACACUACAUCCUAGGCGUGCAGAAACACAAGUUUCUGUUUUAAAAGUAAGCACUUGUAUAAGCCUUUACACUAUCAGGGACUAUUUUUUUGAAAUUUUAUGCAAUCUCUCAAAAACAGG